AACGCACAUUGCGCCCGCCAGCAUUCUGGCGGGCAUGCCUGUUCGAGCGUCAUUUCAACCCAUCAGGCCCCCGGGCUUGCGUUGGGGCCCUGCGGCUGCCGCAGGCCCCGAAAAGCAGUGGCGGGCUCGCUGUCACACCGAGCGCAGUAGCGAUUCUCGCUCCGGGCGUCGGCGGCGGGCACCGGCCGUGAAACCCCCUCCACACACAAGGUUGACCUCGGAUCAGGUAGGAAUACCCGCUGAACUUAA
This 249-nucleotide unclassified non-coding RNA is filed under the name uncultured fungus. RNAcentral's name for it is "partial contains 5.8S ribosomal RNA, internal transcribed spacer 2, and large subunit ribosomal RNA". Lineage: Eukaryota; Fungi. The record is from RNAcentral.